RNAcentral lists this long non-coding RNA (1701 nucleotides) under Olea europaea subsp. europaea. Lineage: Eukaryota; Viridiplantae; Streptophyta; Magnoliopsida; Lamiales; Oleaceae. The record is from RNAcentral.
CCAAGAUAUUGUUUAUAUCUAAUUCUUCUUCUAGAGAAAUUUCCUAACGUCAUGAUAAAAAUAAAGAAAAAAUUCCUUCUGUGCAAAAGGCAGAGAAACAAGAGUAGGAAUAUGAGCAUAAAUGGUAGACUACAAUAAGAAUUUGGUAAUCCAUCUAUGAGAAGCAUAGUGUUAUAUAGUGUUUAUUUUUUACUGCAAUACUGAAAUGAUUUGCCAUACUAUUUUUAUAGGCUUGAGGUGCUGAUGAUGAGUCUGACAAGUCAAAGUCUGAGAUUAAUGGUGAUGAGGACGAUGAGAGCAGUGGAGACGUUAGUUGGGAUUAAGCUAUACAACUUUUUUGUACUUAAAACUUGGAAACUAUGUUGACUUAUUAUUUUGUUUUAAUUAAUGUAGGAGGAAGACAAUGAGUAAGCGCUAUCACAUAAAACUGGAUUUUGGAUUCAAGGUGAGAGCUAACAAACAAUCUUCCUUCAUUAAUUUGUGUUUGGGCUAUUUUGUAAAAUGCUUGAAUUCAAAGUGAUUUAAUUGAAUUGGUAAAUUAGGAUUUCAUGAAGAAUUAUCCUGUAAAAAUUGGGCUUUAUGUAAAUUUUAUUGAAAGUAAUUAUAGUUAAUACGAUUUUCCUCCUUUUUCUUCUGUUGUGAAAGUUGCUAAGGUGUUAGUUUUUCUUUUUCACCAAGGGGACAAGCGUCUCUUCCCUUCCAUUAACUCGAGCAAAAAAGAGAGGAAACAUAUGCCCUGAUUUUCCCUUUUGGUAACGAAUACCGGGGAAUUCCCCUUUUUCGCCUUCUCCUGCCUCUUACUAUGCUUGAUAUACAUACUUAUUUUGAAAGAACGGGUGAAGGAAGAGGAGGUUGGGUGUUUUUUGACCCAUGAUAAAUAUUUAAUGUGUUACAGCAAGCAGCUCAUAUAUUUUUAAAUCAUUAAAGCUCAUUCCUGUUAAAAAUGUUAGAGAGAAAAACAUUAAUUUAUUCAUAUCUUCAAAACACCUCUUAUGGUACAUGUAGAUUUAAUUUUUCUAUAGAAUGACAUGUAUAAUUUUGACGAGGAUGAUAUUAUUGUUCUGCGGAUUUCCAUCUGGUUGUACAUUACCAAUACAGGUCUAGGCUUAGAGUUCGAUUAGAGACUCGGAGCUCAGUUAUCUACUAGGUCGAGAAAAUUGUUGAUCAGGUCAAUCGCUCUAAGCUUGUGGUUGACUACUUACGUGGCCCAUUUUGUUUAUAUUUCGUUGCAAGCUCCAAUUCAUACAUAGUUUUUGUUAUUGCAGGAGUUAAGAGGAAGAGGACAAACCAAACGAUCAAGGAUUUAGCAAUGCAUUUUUGAAGUGAAGUCCAGGAAACUAUAUUAGUUAAGUGAAGCCAGCAUUCUGCUAAAGCGAACAAAAAGAUUAUGACGAUUGAGGAUGAUCAAAGUCACAUUUCACUUAUUAUCCUUCGUUCCCAUCUCUUUUUGAGUAAUGAUCAUUUUUAGUAUCUUGUGGCUGCCCAACAUUUCAAACAUUCCAAAAACAUUGUAGAUGUAAAUUCUACAUUAUGCGAGGAAUUUCCCUUUUCUUUUCUUUCCUUUUCGAAAUGGAGAAUCAAGUAAGCUGUCAUUUCCAUUUGCAAUAGUGUAGGCUCUUACUGUGAUGUGCUGUUGCACAUGUUCACGUAUGUGUGCACAUAUUUACGUAUAUAUAUGUUUGUGCUAGACGUAUGAUACCA